Molecule: non-coding RNA, 121 nt
Organism: Triticum aestivum (bread wheat)
Lineage: Eukaryota; Viridiplantae; Streptophyta; Magnoliopsida; Poales; Poaceae
Source: Rfam
CAGAUACUCCCUCUGUUUCAAAUUACUCGUCGUAGAAAUAGAUGUAUCUAGAAUUAAAAUAUAUCUAGAUACAUCCAUAUCCAUAUCUGCGACAAGUAAUUCGGAACGAAGGAAGUAAUAU